Molecule: long non-coding RNA, 472 nt
Filed under: Fukomys damarensis (Damara mole-rat)
Lineage: Eukaryota; Metazoa; Chordata; Mammalia; Rodentia; Bathyergidae
Description: lncRNA (ENSFDAG00000027008.1)
Source: RNAcentral
UCACAGAGGUCAUAACCUGAUCCAGUCCCAUGUGAUGCCCACAUUCCCCUUGCUGGAGAGAACUUGGAGAAGACUUGACUGCAAGCUUGUCCAAAAGUUGAGUUUAUCCCAAAAUGCUUAGCUCUGACUCAGGCCUCCUGAUUUUUCCUUCCUGACAGAUAUGUUUCCAGCACAUGGAAGGUGGUGACAGCUCACAUGGCUUCCAGGUGCCCAGAUCUUCUCCAGCCAGCCAGCACCCUCUUCCUUCUUUCCUGGCCAGAGUUUACUUCCAAGUGGCUGCUCUGGUGUGGACAGUCUAGGAUGAGGCAUUAGGGCUCGCAUCUGAGAAGUUGACAUCAAGCAGACAGCAAGACAUGAUAUCUUAUUUUCCUGAGCCAUGCUGACACAAACUGAACUCCCCUUAUUAUUUUCUUAUGUCAGUAAAGUUGCACUUGGAAUUUAAGCAUUUUGUGUGCAGAUGUUAAGAGCCGGG